UGAGCAAUCUGCCCUUCUCAUCGGAAUAACCAUUGGAAACGAUGGCUAAUGCCGAAUAUGACCUCGGAACACAUGUUCUGAGGUGGAAAGCUCCGGCGGAGAAGGAUGAGCUCGCGGCCUAUCAGCUAGUUGGUGUGGGUAAUGGCCCACCAAGGCGACGACGGGUAGCCGGCCUGAGAGGGUGACCGGCCACACUGGGACUGAGACACGGCCCAGACCUCUACGGGAGG
RNAcentral lists this ribosomal RNA (230 nucleotides) under uncultured bacterium. RNAcentral's name for it is "partial 16S ribosomal RNA". It matches the Rfam family "Bacterial small subunit ribosomal RNA", at positions 118 to 347 of the family's 1533-position model. The record is from RNAcentral.